This 29-nucleotide non-coding RNA is filed under the name Rattus norvegicus (Norway rat). Lineage: Eukaryota; Metazoa; Chordata; Mammalia; Rodentia; Muridae. The record is from RNAcentral.
UCCGAGAGGCCCUUAGACCACAUUGUUGU